AUUGAACGCUGGCGGCAGGCUUAACACAUGCAAGUCGAGCGGAGCGAGGGUGCUUGCACCUUAGCUUAGCGGCGGACGGGUGAGUAAUGCUUAGGAAUCUGCCUAUUAGUGGGGGACAACAUUCCGAAAGGGAUGCUAAUACCGCAUACGCCCUACGGGGGAAAGCAGGGGAUCUUCGGACCUUGCGCUACUAGACGAGACUAAGCCGGAUUAGCUAGUUGGUGGGGUAAAGGCCUACCAAGGCGACGAUCGGUAGCGGGUCUGAGAGGAUGAUCCGCCACACUGGGACUGAGACACGGCCCAGACUCCUACGGGAGGCAGCAGUGGGGAAUAUUGGACAAUGGGCGGAAGCCUGAUCCAGCCAUGCCGCGUGUGUGAAGAAGGCCUUUUGGUUGUAAAGCACUUUAAGCGAGGAGGAGGCUACUAGUAUUAAUACUACUGGAUAGUGGACGUUACUCGCAGAAUAAGCACCGGCUAACUCUGUGCCAGCAGCCGCGGUAA
RNAcentral lists this ribosomal RNA (501 nucleotides) under uncultured bacterium. RNAcentral's name for it is "partial 16S ribosomal RNA". It matches the Rfam family "Bacterial small subunit ribosomal RNA", at positions 30 to 523 of the family's 1533-position model. The record is from RNAcentral.